Molecule: ribosomal RNA, 217 nt
Filed under: Culex originator
Lineage: Eukaryota; Metazoa; Arthropoda; Insecta; Diptera; Culicidae
Description: partial 16S ribosomal RNA
Source: RNAcentral
GAUCUUUAUUUUUAUUAUUUAUAAUUAUAAAAGAAUAUUAUAAAUUAUAUAUUUAUAAAAAAUUUUAUUGGGGUGAUAUUAAAAUUUAAUAAACUUUUAAGAUUAAUUUACAUUAAUAUAUGAAUAAUUGAUCCAAUUUUAUUGAUUAAAAAUUUAAGUUACCUUAGGGAUAACAGCGUAAUUUUUUUUUAGAGUUCAUAUCGAUAAAAAAGAUUGC